This 67-nucleotide transfer RNA is filed under the name Stegodyphus mimosarum. It matches the Rfam family "tRNA". From Rfam's summary of the family: Transfer RNA (tRNA) molecules are approximately 80 nucleotides in length. Their secondary structure includes four short double-helical elements and three loops (D, anti-codon, and T loops). Lineage: Eukaryota; Metazoa; Arthropoda; Arachnida; Araneae; Eresidae. The record is from Rfam by way of RNAcentral.
GCCUUCGUGGUGUAAUGGUCGAACACACUGGACGCGUAGAUCCGUGGUUCGAGUCCCGUCGAGGGCA